CUUAUCUAAAAAUAAUUUUAGUAAUCUAAAUCAUCCAUUUAAAAUGAAAUUUUGGCUAAUCAAACUAAAUAAAAAUAUUAAAUAAAAUAUUCUAUUUUCUUAUAAAACAAUAUUUAUAAAACUUUGCGUAAAUAAUUUUUGUAGUGUAAAAGUAAAAUAAAUUCAUACAUACAAUGGUACACACAGCCAGGUAUACAAAAUAUUCUACAAUGACAUGUGGGCCCCGAUAUAAUCGAAAAUAUGCAAGACUGUAGACCUUCGAUUUCUAAGGAUGCAGAUCCAAAAGCAAUCCUCGAUAAAAUCGACUGUCUACAGACUAUCCUCAGCCUAAAAUGGGUGAAAAGAAAGGGUGAGUUUUUAUAAACCCAGUGAGUAAGCAAAAUUCAUCUAUAACAUCUAAAGCCGAGUAAAUGGAGACAGUUAAAUCAUCCCAUCAUAAUAUAAUUCAUAACAUUCAAAACUCAUUUCAAUUCAUAUAAAACAAUUACAUUUCAAUCAAAAACAAUCAAUAAGGCUUAUGACUCUCUUAAAACUUGGCUCGUGUCAAAACUCGUACUUGAUGACACCUUGGCUCGGGCAUCCAACCGAGUCCGCCAAGGCUGUUAAAAUGAUAUAUACACAUAAAACAUGUUUUUACAUUUAAAAACGUAGUUGUUCCUUGGCGUUGGCUGAGUUUCACCCUCACGUGGUGGUUCAACGUGAAGUGAACUCUAAAUAUACCUUAGGAGAUACUUUCCGCGCCUCUCAUACUAAGGUAAAGUAUAACGGGGUUUACCGUGCCCCUCCAAUAGGUUGGUCCACAAAAGCCCGCCCACUGCAGUAAGCUAAUCAAUUAUCCCACCAAAUCAAUGAAAAUUUCGGCAAUAUGACAUGGCUAAUAUGAUAUUACCCAACCUGUGUCACGGCAAAACAAAACAGUUUAUAAAUUCCACACAAAACACAAAUCUAGCCAUUCAUGCCAUCACAUUGUCAUAAGCCACCAAAUCAACCAUAUAUCAAAACACGAGUAUAUAGUCUCCACUUACUCAAUUUCCAAAACUAGUAUUCAAUUUCAAAACAAGUUAUAAAACUCAUUUCAUUUAACCAACACUUCAAUUUAAAACAUAAUAAUUUACCAUUUAAACUCACUAUUCUUUAAAACAUAAAAACGAAUAGAAACAACUUUAGAUAGUUAAGAUGAAAUUUUGUUACUCACAAUAGCUGGAGUUUGGAGUACUCCUAUUCUUGGUCCUCAGGUACAAUAUCUUUACCCUUAUUAAAGGGCUCACCACCUAUACAUAACACACGACACGUAAUUCAAUAUAUUUGUGCCAAACUGUUAUAAAACUAUUUCAGGCUCUAUAUGAAUGCAUGAAAUUGAAUGAGAAUUGUUCGAAUAAUCACUUAAAUAUAGUGUUCUACGUGGGUUCAAUUAUGAUUGGACUGAAUUUGUAUUCGACCUAACUCGAACUAUACACUGUUAAAUCAACCAAAACAUCCGAUUCAACUCCAAAUAUAUUCAUUACACUUCCAAUACUCCAAUUACACCCAAAGUACCUCAAUGAACUUGAUUUUCUCAUUGUUGUUCAAAUCGUUUACUAAAAGAACCAUACGUUUUCAUAACUGUUUUCAAUAUCCGGCACCACAAUUCAUCAAAUAUGAGUUGAAUAACAUGAGAUAUAACAAGAUUCAUCAUCAAUAUGUCCUUUAGUAAAUUCGGCCAAGGAGGGUUUAAUGAAGAACAUGUGGUUUUCAUGCUUGUUUUUCACACCGAGUAUCACAAAACAACUAAAAACGCGUAUGUAGCAUGAAAUCUAACAAAACCCGUGAUCAAAACCUCUCCCCUUAAGUUCAGCCAGCAAACUUUCCUUCAUGAGAUCUGGAGUUUCAACUAUGGAAAAUGAAAAAGAGAGCAUGGGAAAGGUAGAUCUUAAGCUAAAAUUGAAAAAUUUUACCUUUGAUUGUUUUGUUCCUUGAAAUUCAAUAAAUUUCUCUUGGAUUUUCUUCUCUAGGGUUUGUUCUUAUUCUUUUCUCUUUGUUCUUUGCUUUGGCCGGC
This 2035-nucleotide long non-coding RNA is filed under the name Theobroma cacao (cacao). RNAcentral's name for it is "long non-coding RNA (TCAC_LNC006399)". Lineage: Eukaryota; Viridiplantae; Streptophyta; Magnoliopsida; Malvales; Malvaceae. The record is from RNAcentral.